Molecule: long non-coding RNA, 340 nt
Organism: Tribolium madens (black flour beetle)
Lineage: Eukaryota; Metazoa; Arthropoda; Insecta; Coleoptera; Tenebrionidae
Exons: 2
Source: RefSeq, a predicted model, not a curated record
AAUAUUUGUAAAUUCUUUUGGCUUUCGCUAACUGAAGCUUCUGUAUCCGCUUAGCUUGAAACGUAAAAGUUCAGCCAGGCUAUUUAUAAACCUACCUAAAUAACAUCGAGUUCAUUCCGUAACUUCUGUGUUUCUUAACCCCAGUCACAAUUCCCCCUUUGGCGUUAGAAUAGUUAAAAAUGAGACGGUUUAGCUUAAUUAACUUGUUAUGGUAGUGAUGUUUUCUUGCGUAAUAUGUAAAAAGGCAUGGUGGGUGACGCGACAAAGACAAUGAAGUACACCUCAAUGUAAUAUUUUUUGUCUGUAAUUAAGUUACAACAAUAAACGCAUGCAAGUUUUG